ACCUUCGUGGUGUAGUGGUCAGCAUGCUCGACGCGUAACCGAGAGAUCCGUGGUUCGAUUCCCGGCGAAGGCG
This 73-nucleotide transfer RNA is filed under the name Stegodyphus mimosarum. It matches the Rfam family "tRNA". From Rfam's summary of the family: Transfer RNA (tRNA) molecules are approximately 80 nucleotides in length. Their secondary structure includes four short double-helical elements and three loops (D, anti-codon, and T loops). Further hydrogen bonds mediate the characteristic L-shaped molecular structure. tRNAs have two regions of fundamental functional importance: the anti-codon, which is responsible for specific mRNA codon recognition, and the 3' end, to which the tRNAs corresponding amino acid is attached (by aminoacyl-tRNA synthetases). tRNAs cope with the degeneracy of the genetic code in two manners: having more than one tRNA (with a specific anti-codon) for a particular amino acid; and 'wobble' base-pairing, i.e. permitting non-standard base-pairing at the 3rd anti-codon position. The record is from Rfam by way of RNAcentral. Lineage: Eukaryota; Metazoa; Arthropoda; Arachnida; Araneae; Eresidae.